ACCUUAGUACCUCAAGAAUUACUCUUGUCCCUUUUAUAAUAAAAUGAUCACUCUAAAACGCUAAGCGGAGGAUCAAGUGAGCUUUCACACUUUCACAACUUUAAGACUUCAAGAUCCUUUGCUUGAUUCAAAAAUUGAUUAGAACUUCAAUUGGAUCUUGAAUCAUUUGACUUAUGAGACUUCAGAUGUAUUCUUCUUGAUCAUAUGUCAUCAUUUAAAACUUAUUGGACAAACGCAUUCAACUCCUUCUUCGAUAGUUGUCACAUAGAACUUUUGAAGAGAACAAUCAAAUCCCAAAAGUUGUUUGACUUAUGGAGUUGUAAUCUUCUUGACAGUUGUCAUCAGUUGUCA
Molecule: long non-coding RNA, 351 nt
Filed under: Lathyrus oleraceus (garden pea)
Lineage: Eukaryota; Viridiplantae; Streptophyta; Magnoliopsida; Fabales; Fabaceae
Description: Pisum sativum (pea) long non-coding RNA (PSAT_LNC013808)
Source: RNAcentral